CAGCCGUAAACUAUGCUCGCUAGGUGUCAGGCAUGGCGCGACCGUGUCUGGUGCCGCAGGGAAGCCGUGAAGCGAGCCACCUGGGAAGUACGGCCGCAAGGCUGAAACUUAAAGGAAUUGGCGGGGGAGCACAACAACGGGUGGAGCCUGCGGUUUAAUUGGACUCAACGCCGGGAAGCUCACCGGAUAAGACAGCGGAAUGAUUGCCGGGCUGAAGACUCUGCAUGACUAGCUGAGAGGUGGUGCAUGG
Molecule: ribosomal RNA, 250 nt
Filed under: uncultured archaeon
Lineage: Archaea
Description: partial 16S ribosomal RNA
Rfam family: Archaeal small subunit ribosomal RNA
Source: RNAcentral